GCCCCCCCUUUCCUCCUUCCCCCCCCCUUCCCGCCUCUCUGGAGGCUCUUCUUGCAUCCUCGAAGGCCUUACCAGUCUUCUUGGAAGCCCUAUCAGCCUCUUCGGAGGCCUCAUCCCAGUUCAUCUUCUCCGAUAACUACCCCUCCACCUGCGCCGAUAGCUUCUCCGUCGGCUCCCCUCCAUCCGUGUAUUCAGCCAGAUUUGUCAAGGAUUUUGGGUCGAAAUUUUUGAAUCUAGAUCUACUUUCCUCCGCCAGUUCCAGGCCGAUACGCUCCAGCCCACUGCCUUCCCCGUCGUCUUCCACCUGCGCCGAUGCCACCCGCGUCUCCAACGGCCUACUAAACACCGGAGCGUCGACUACACGUGCCAGAAAGUGGAUCUCACUCGCUGGCGCGUCUGGGUCACGUCCCUCCUCCUAGCAUUCCUCCGCUGCUGCUGCUGUUCCGUCGUGGCCCUCUUCCUUCCGCCCAUAUUUGCAGGUUAUUGGCCUUUACGGUUAUUCCCUGUGGUUGUUGCUACGCAAUCUGUAUUUGGGUACUAUGUACUCUGUACACACCUUUAAAUUCCCACGUCGAUCAUGACUCCGCAACCUCACUCCCACCCGGUUUCUCGAUUUCGAACCGAUUGUCGUCGUUGUCCAAUCCUGAGACCUCCCAAGUAACCCCUUCUCUCUCAUAUAUGACCUCCCAUAUAUAUAUAUAUGGGAAGGACCGCAAGGUCCGCCUCAACUCGCGCACUGUGGGAAUGAUUCGAAUGGAGAACAAAUUCCUCGUUUUUUACACUGGCCGAGCUCCCAUGGAGUAACGCCUUGUUGACAAGGAACUGGAGAAAGCUGGAAUUGGCGUCGACUACACGCGCCAGAAAGUGGAUCUCACUCGCUGGCGCGUGUGUCACGUCCCUCCUCCUAGAGUUCCUCCGCUGCUGCUGUUCCGUCGUGGCCCUCCUCCUUCGGCCCAUAUCUGCAGGUUAUUGGCCUUUACGCUUAUCCCCUGUGAUUGUUGCUACGCAAUUUGAAUUUGGGUCCUAUCUGUACACACCGUUAAAUUCCCACAUCGAUCAGUACAAUUCGAAUGCUAUGGAGCAUGACUCCGCAACCUCAAUCCCACCCGGUUUCUCGAUUUCGAACCGAUUGCCGUCGUCGUUCGAUUCUGAGACAACCCCUUGGUCCGCUACAACUCGCGCAUUGUGGGAAUGAAGAACAAAUUCCUCGUUUUUUCAACUUGCCGAGCUCCCAUGGAGCUGUCGUUUUUUACACUGGCCGAGCCCCCAUGGGGUUCCUACCAAUUGGAUCAUGCACAAGUACCGCCGCGAGGUCUGCUGCAACUCGCUCACUGUGGGAAUGAAGAACAAAUUCCUCGUUUUUUACACUGGCCGAGUCCCCCAUGGUUUCCUACCAAUUGGAUCAUGCACGAGUACCGCCUCGUUGACAAGGACUGCGAGGUCCGCUGCAACUCGCGCACCGUGGGAAUGAAGAAAAAGUUCCUCGUUUUUUAACACUGGCCGAGCCCCCAUGGGGUUCCUACCAAUUGGAUCAUGCACGAGUACCGCCUUGUUGACAAGGAACUGGAGAAAGGUGGUUUUGCCGUACAGGAUGCGCUUGUACUGUGUAAGAUUUUUCAGAAGAGUGGGACGGGGCCCAAGAAUGGGAAGUUCAGUGGAGAUUAUCAGCAGCCUAUCAUAGGCACUGGUGAAACUUCAGAGCUGAAUCAUUACCAGGAAUUUGUUGAUAUCCCAGAGCAAGAUGGGAUGGAUGCAAACCCAUUGAGAGAUGACUUCUUUAUUGAAGCUAAGGAUCUUUCAGACCCCAUUGAAAUAGAUCCUGCAGAUUUUGACAUGGCUGAGAAGUUCUUUAAUUUAGAUAUGGAUGAAGGUUUUGAUCCCUCUGAUUUUUUUGGGGACUGAAAACACUAGUUCUCACCAAACACCCGUCAACCAGAAGGUGGUGACUGGCAUGAAUUUGCAGAGCAACUGUGGUUCUCACAUGUUGAUGACUUAACCGUUCAUUGCAAGUUUAUGUACUACUAGACUCUUGCUAGUUUGAUAUAUGGUGUAAUGUUGUUUGCAUUUUCUUUUGGGAGAAGCUGCUUGAGGUGGUUGUAGUACUGGCUGUGUUGCUAUUUUAGAGUCCUUUACCUAAAAGAAAGGGCUGUGUUGCUUUUGUUGUAUAACUUCGGAUGAGCCUGUGCUUUGAAUCUCUUUUGGUUCUUAGUAUUUGCCCAAAAUAAAAAAGAAAACUUGUGUUGAUGUCA
Long non-coding RNA from Alnus glutinosa, 2249 nucleotides. RefSeq lists it as uncharacterized. The record is from RefSeq and is a predicted model, not a curated record. Lineage: Eukaryota; Viridiplantae; Streptophyta; Magnoliopsida; Fagales; Betulaceae. The transcript has 3 exons.